This 465-nucleotide ribosomal RNA is filed under the name uncultured Klebsiella sp. RNAcentral describes it as "bacterial SSU rRNA". It matches the Rfam family "Bacterial small subunit ribosomal RNA", at positions 338 to 795 of the family's 1533-position model. Lineage: Bacteria; Pseudomonadati; Pseudomonadota; Gammaproteobacteria; Enterobacterales; Enterobacteriaceae. The record is from RNAcentral.
CCUACGGGAGGCUGCAGUGGGGAAUAUUGCACAAUGGGCGCAAGCCUGAUGCAGCCAUGCCGCGUGUGUGAAGAAGGCCUUCGGGUUGUAAAGCACUUUCAGCGGGGAGGAAGGCGUUAAGGUUAAUAACCUUGUCGAUUGACGUUACCCGCAGAAAAAGCACCGGCUAACUCCGUGCCAGCAGCCGCGGUAAUACGGAGGGUGCAAGCGUUAAUCGGAAUUACUGGGCGUAAAGCGCACGCAGGCGGUCUGUCAAGUCGGAUGUGAAAUCCCCGGGCUCAACCUGGGAACUGCAUUCGAAACGGGCAGGCGAGAGUCUUGUAGAGGGGGGUAGAAGUCCAGGGGUAGCGGGGAAAUGCGUAGAGAGCUGGAGGAAUACCGGUGGCGAAGGCGGCCCCCUGGACAAAGACUGACGCUCAGGUGCGAAAGCGUGGGGAGCAAACAGGAUUAGAUACCCUUGGAGUC